Molecule: non-coding RNA, 45 nt
Organism: Gongylonema pulchrum
Lineage: Eukaryota; Metazoa; Nematoda; Chromadorea; Rhabditida; Gongylonematidae
Source: Rfam
CACAAGGCCUUUUUCGAGGCCACGAUAUUUCGAUUCCAGAUGUGU